RNAcentral lists this long non-coding RNA (760 nucleotides) under Rattus norvegicus (Norway rat). RNAcentral describes it as "partial HAfT22 variant X1". The record is from RNAcentral. Lineage: Eukaryota; Metazoa; Chordata; Mammalia; Rodentia; Muridae.
CAUACACACUAGCACCGACAGAAAGAAUGCUUUGAAGAAAUUCCUCAAAGGUAAAAGGUAGCAUCUGUAUCAUUAUUUACCUUUCUCCUUGUUGUGACAAAAUACAAGAGAAAAACAAUUCAGGAUGGAGGGUUUCCUUUUGACUGGUCUCAGUCCACUGUGACAGGGAAAGCUCAUGAUCAGAGCAGACCGAACUUCAGAAACAGCGUUUCUGGGCAGCUCUACUCAUUGUGUUCUAAUCCAAGAAACAGAAGGACUUGGACAAAUGUAUGAAAGUAUUACAAACAAGCCAGUGGCCAGAGCGCACAGAUACCACCAACAUGUCACCUUGUAUCAAGGAUCCAUACACAGCUUUAUCAAAGAGGAUUACAGUGGAUGGACGAAAAGGAGGAAAAGAAGGAAGGACGAGGGAAGGAAGAAGAGGAACAGCAGGAGCAAGAAGAUUAUUGAAAGCACAGGAGUUCACUUAGAAGUAAUAUGGAAUUAAGCAAUGGAUAUGAAAGAAGAGAGAUAAACAAUCACACCCAGAGUGACUUCCCACUCUUCAUUGUCUCAUGCAAAGGAAAGACAUUCUCUGGGUGAGAUCCUUCCAAAGCAAACAUCCUGAGCACCUAUGCAUCCCACUUGUGGAUCACAGUAGCCAGCAGGCUGACUCACUUAUAUUCAUGCAACUCCCUGGUGCCAGUGAAUUACACUGAGAAUAUUCUAGGCAGCCACAUUGCUGGUGAUGAAAAGGUGGGGAAGUAGAGGGUUACCGAAA